Molecule: ribosomal RNA, 747 nt
Filed under: uncultured marine bacterium
Lineage: Bacteria
Description: bacterial SSU rRNA
Rfam family: Bacterial small subunit ribosomal RNA
Source: RNAcentral
GCAAGUCGAACGGUAACAGCACUUCGGUGGCUGACGAGUGGCGCACGGGUGCGUAACGCGUAUGCAAUCUACCUUUUACAGUGGGAUAGCCCAGAGAAAUUUGGAUUAAUACCGCAUAGUAUAUAGAAUUGGCAUCGAUUUUAUAUUAAACAUUUAUGGGUAAAAGAUGAGCAUGCGUUCUAUUAGCUAGAUGGAGUGGUAACGGCACCCCAUGGCGACGAUAGAUAGGGGCCCUGAGAGGGGGAUCCCCCACACUGGUACUGAGACACGGACCAGACUCCUACGGGAGGCAGCAGUGAGGAAUAUUGGACAAUGGGCGCAAGCCUGAUCCAGCCAUGCCGCGUGCAGGAAGACUGCCCUAUGGGUUGUAAACUGCUUUUAUACGGGAAGAAACACCCCCUCGUGAGGGGGCUUGACGGUACCGUAAGAAUAAGGAUCGGCUAACUCCGUGCCAGCAGCCGCGGUAAUACGGAGGAUCCGAGCGUUAUCCGGAAUCAUUGGGUUUAAAGGGUCCGUAGGUGGAUAAUUAAGUCAGAGGUGAAAUCCUGCAGCUCAACUGUAGAAUUGCCUUUGAUACUGGUUAUCUUGAAUUAUUAUGAAGUAGUUAGAAUAUGUAGUGUAGCGGCGAAAUGCAUAGAUAUUACAUAGAAUACCAAUUGCGAAGGCAGAUUACUAAUAAUAUAUUGACACUGAUGGACGAAAGCGUGGGGAGCGAACAGGAUUAGAUACCCUGGUAGUCCACGCCGU